Hipposideros armiger (great roundleaf bat) is the source of this 381-nucleotide long non-coding RNA. RefSeq lists it as uncharacterized. The record is from RefSeq and is a predicted model, not a curated record. The transcript has 3 exons. Lineage: Eukaryota; Metazoa; Chordata; Mammalia; Chiroptera; Hipposideridae.
CUGUUCUCAGCCCUGCUGCGUUUUUACCAAAGACUUGCGACAGCACCAUGAAGUUGGUAGGCUUCUUCCUCCUUGUGCUCCUCAUCACCCUCAGCCUAGGGGUACAGGAGCUUCAGGCUGCGGUGAGACCGUUGCAUCUUUUGGGUGACUGCAUUGAGCUCUGCAGUGGUGACCGGGACUGUAAUCCAGGGGAGCAUUGUAUCAGCACUGGGUGUAGCCAGGUCUGCGCUGCAUACUAAGAACAGAGUUGCUAUCUUCAAAGAUGUGACUGGAACGCCUUGCCCAGGAAGAUGGAUGAAAAUGGGGACCUGUGGAUGGAGAUUACAAGGAUGGGGAAGGAAAAAAGUUGUUUCUUUAAAUAAAUCAUCAUUAUUAAAAGUA